AGGACGAACGCUUGCGGCGUGCCUAAGAAAUGCAAGUCGAGCGGGGGAGCAAUCCCUAGCGGCGAACGGUCGCGUAACACGUAGGCAACCUGCCCGAGAGACCGGGACAACACCCCGAAAGGGGUGCUAAUACCGGAUGUGGCCGCCCUGUUGAUUUCGGGGCGAUUAAAUCCCUUCGGGGGCUCUUGGAGGGGCCUGCGGCCUAUCAGCUAGAUGGCGGGGUAACGGCUCACCAUGGCGACGACGGUUAGCUGGUCUGAGAGGAUGGUCAGCCGGACUGGGACUGAGAUACGGCCCAGACUCCUACGGGGGGCAGCAAUUAGGAAUCUUGCGCAAUGGGGGGAACCCUGACGCAGCGACGCCGCGUGGAGGAGGAAGGCCUUCGGGUUGUAAACUCCUUUUGGGUGGGAAGAACAAUGACGGUACCACCGAAUAACGCCCCGGCUAACCUCCGCGCCAGCACGCCGC
This 468-nucleotide ribosomal RNA is filed under the name uncultured bacterium. RNAcentral describes it as "SSU rRNA". It matches the Rfam family "Bacterial small subunit ribosomal RNA", at positions 26 to 518 of the family's 1533-position model. The record is from RNAcentral.